GCUCUCACUCCAGGAUGAGCCCACGUCCGAUUAGCUAGUUGGUAGGGUAAAGGCCUACCAAGGCCACGAUCGGUAGCUGGUCUGAGAGGAUGAUCAGCCACACUGGGACUGAGACACGGCCCAGACUCCUACGGGAGGCAGCAGUGGGGAAUAUUGGACAAUGGGCGCAAGCCUGAUCCGGCAAUGCCGCGUGUGUGAAGAAGGCCUGCGGGGUUGUAAAGCACUUUCAGUGGGGAAGAACAGAUUCGGGUCAAUACCCCGGAGCCCUGACGUUACCCACAGAAGAAGCACCGGCUAACUCCGUG
This 305-nucleotide ribosomal RNA is filed under the name uncultured bacterium. RNAcentral describes it as "bacterial SSU rRNA". It matches the Rfam family "Bacterial small subunit ribosomal RNA", at positions 211 to 507 of the family's 1533-position model. The record is from RNAcentral.